This 78-nucleotide small RNA is filed under the name Flavobacterium xueshanense. RNAcentral's name for it is "Flavo-1 RNA". It matches the Rfam family "Flavo-1 RNA". The record is from RNAcentral. Lineage: Bacteria; Pseudomonadati; Bacteroidota; Flavobacteriia; Flavobacteriales; Flavobacteriaceae.
CCUUAGCCCUGAUCGUAACGGCAUCCUUUUGUUUUUUUCUUUAAAAAACAAAAGAUACAGUGCAGAGCAGGAGAAAGC